GACGAACGCUGGCGGCGUGCUUAACACAUGCAAGUCGAACGGAAAGGCCUGCUUUCCCUUGUGGAUUGCGGGUACUCGAGUGGCGAACGGGUGAGUAACACGUGAGUGAUCUGCCCCCAACUUGGGUAUAAGCCUGGGAAACUGGGUCUAAUUCCCGAUAGGACUGCAGGGUGGUGCCUGCGGUGGAAAACGAUUUUCUAGUGGUUGGGGAUGAGCUCGCGGCCUAUCAGCUUGUUGGUGGGGUAAUGGCCUACCAAGGCGGCGACGGGUAGCCGGCCUGGGAGGGUGGACGGCCACAUUGGGACUGAGAUACGGCCCAGACUCCUACGGGAGGCAGCAGUGGGGAAUAUUGCACAAUGGGCGGAAGCCUGAUGCAGCGACGCCGCGUGGGGGAUGACGGCCUUCGGGUUGUAAACUCCUUUCGACCGCGAGGAAGCCACCUGGUUGGAAGGGUGGUGACGGUAGUGGUAGAAGAAGCACCGGCUAACUACGUG
RNAcentral lists this ribosomal RNA (494 nucleotides) under uncultured bacterium. Its description in RNAcentral is "partial 16S ribosomal RNA". It matches the Rfam family "Bacterial small subunit ribosomal RNA", at positions 28 to 507 of the family's 1533-position model. The record is from RNAcentral.